Long non-coding RNA from Hylaeus volcanicus, 890 nucleotides. RefSeq lists it as uncharacterized. Lineage: Eukaryota; Metazoa; Arthropoda; Insecta; Hymenoptera; Colletidae. The transcript is spliced from 3 exons. The record is from RefSeq and is a predicted model, not a curated record.
GAUUCUCUGGACGACUCUGUCUGGAAUAUCGUGAGAAUAUUCAGAUAGACGGAUCAUGGUUCGCAAUUCUUGAUACGAGAUUUUCCCAUCGCCAUCGGAGUCGAACCUGUUGAAUAUAUUCCUCCAAUGCUGAAAAACAAUGGGAAUCUCGAUCCCAGGCUCUCCGCCUUGGUGGUUCGGCAUCCUUAUCAGCUUGAAACCUCUGCAAAAUAUAGUAAAUUAGUGCAUUAAAGAUGUGAAAUAAGUCUACGCUGUAUUAACAUUUAAUACUUAGUAUGGUAUAUUGACAAUAACAGUAAUUAAUUUUUAUGGAAAGAAAGAGUCAGAAAAGAGCGAGAGACAAGAUGUAUAAAAUCUUUAAAGUAACAUGUCUUCUGAAUGAAUCUUCCAAACAUUCUCUAAAUGCACUGCACCUUACAGUUUAAGAAUCUUGUCCUAACUAACUUCCUGUUAGGAAAUCAAUCAAGGAAACCGAUGCAGAAAGUGUGAGAAAUUCUCAGUGAUCGACGUGAAGUGGGAAUUAGAGCAAAGAUUGAAAUGUGGUCGUCGACAAGAACAUUAUAUAGAACGCUGUGCACGUGAAAUAUUAUUAACCUUUCGAUCUCCUAACAAAAUCCUGUAUAUACCUCGGUGAACAUUUCUGAUCGCCUUCGGUCCAAUCAGAUAUUGAAUUCGGUACAAGCAAGAUUUAUACAUACGAGUACAAAAAAAUUCAAAUUUAUAAGCACUGGGGCAAAUUGUCUGUUUCUAUUCGGCUACAAAUUUUGACGUAUAGUCAAACAUUGUAGAUUGAUAGAUCGAUUGGAUUUGUUGGACCCUUCGAUGCAAUUAAUUUCUGAAAGAGAAACGAACAGAAACACAAAACAAGAGAGAAAGUCAGAUUGAAGGGG